CCGCCCGCCCCGCUCCGCAGGGGCAGGGGGGAGGGGACGAAGCUACUCGCCGCCAUCUUGUUUAUGGGCUGCCUCCAGGCGCGGCCUCUCCGCCGAGCCGUGGAGACGUCACGCAGGAGGCCGCGAGCUGGCCAGACGCUCCCUCUUUUUCACAACAGGUGCAUUCAGCCAUUCGCCGACGGUUGUGGAGGUCUCGCUAGCUGGUGGGCUUGGCUCUUUACCCGUUGUCCCUGAGCAGCCCUCAAGUCUGGAUGUCGGUGAGCCCGAGGAUGCCACUACCUUGUCCUGCCGCCCCCUCCCCCGCCCCGGUCUGGCCUGCCAGCGCAGGGUGAACCCGGUCGGGUUGUCACUCGACGCCCACUAGUGGCUGAGGAGGCUCCAGUGCGCAGGCUCGGGGCACCGGAUAAAAGUGGAGCUGGCGAGUCCGGCGCCGUCACGAUGGAGGAGCAAGAAACGGAAGAGGUCAGGGGGAGAAGCCGCAGAAAAAAGUGCAGCCAUCGUCAGCGCCGCCUCCUGCCACCGUGUACGGGGUAAAAGCCGCCGUUGCUGCUGCCGGUGCAGUUGCCGCCGCCGCCGCCUCCUAGACUUCUUAGCAGCGGGGAAGGAUUCCCCAGCCGCGGAACAGUGUGCUGGGAGGGGAGCGGGAGUUCGUUUGUGUGGCGGUGAUUAAACGGGGGAGGGGGCAGAGCUGGUUUCUCGAAGCGAAAAGGGGAUACCAAGGAAUAAAACAGGUUUCCCCACUAAAAUCACACAGCGAUUACGGAUCUUGCUUUUGGGGCCUUUCCCCGAAAUGGCGGUUUCCGUCUUCCUGGCCCACAGCACGACCUUGGGUGCUCUGUUAGAGGAGUGGGGAGAGGCAGAGCGGUGUCGGCAGCCAAUCGGCGCCUGGUGAUUUCUGUCGGGUGCGUCAGGAUUGGCUGGCGAUGACCUCAUGCUGCAGCAGCGGGUGGGGCCAGAGUCGUCGGGGGAGUCUGUAGCGAAGGCAGAGAGGGAGAAGUGAUGACGGUGAUCGUUGUCGCCGCGGCCUCUUUGGAACCCAAGCAGUGGCGAAGGAAGUCUCAAGGCUCUUCCCUGAUCAUUUGCUCCUCUCCCUGCGCGAGGGUAUCCUGCAUUGAAGAGGCUGAACAUUUUUAAAACUUCAUUUUCCAGACUUCCUUGCAGUUUGGCUAUGCAAGUCACUUACUGAGUGAGUUUCAGAUGGUGGGGGUAAAGCAGAAAUCAUUAGCCACCCUUCUUGGCUUAUUUGGUCAAGUUUUAUGCCUAUUACUAAGUAACAGAGGGAAAUUGUUUCAUGUUCUUGUGUUCUUGGCCCCACUUGCCUCCGGUGCAGUUACUUCCUCACAGUCUCUCUUCUAGGUCCCUCUCCCCACCCUGAAAAUCUUGUGUAGGAGUUGAGGAUGAAGCUCAACACUAGACUGCCUGUCUAGCAUGCACAAAAUGCUGGUUUGAUCCCCAGCAUCCCACAGAUUGGAAACAGAAGUAUAUGCCUGUAAUUCUUAUACUCAAGAGAACCAGAAGUCAGGCUGCAUGAGUCUGAGGCCAGCUUGUGCUGUGUGAGAGCCUGUCUCAAACAUAACAGCAAAAUCAUGUAUAAGAGGAAUGAGGUAGAAGAGGAAUCCUGGGCUGGAAGUUAUUUAGGGAAUGCUGGGCUUAAAAUCUGUUCUCCCAAAUUCCCAGCUGGUAUCUAUCUUCAGACCAAACUAGAAAACUCCUUUUUCCCUCAAUUACUUCCACAGUAACUUUCCACUUGAGGGUCUGGGAUAUUUUUCCAGCUUCCACCAACACCUCAGCCUUGAAACCCAAGUUUAGCCAAACACUGUCCCUCCAGCUCAUCAGCCUGCCAGGCACCAGCACAUGUCCCAAACUUCCUGAGUCCAUAUGUGUGGUUGAAUUGAGCCAUGGUGACAUUAGUCAUGUUUAUUGUUUAUUGAAAACAAGGAUAUGUAGUAGCUAAGGACUCACUGUGGUUUCUGACUUCAUAGUUGCUCACUAACUAUAACAAGACAAUGAAAAUGACCAAAAUAGACACUAAGUAUAUAGUAAAAGUAGAUAGGAUAAGAGACUAGACUCUUCUCUGCUGGUAGUAAGAAAAGGGGAGGGGGGCUUUUCUCCUUUACUAUAGUGAAGCCAUGUAACAUGUCUUACUCAAUUUCACAUGAAUAUUCUCGUUUUGUUUUAACAUUGUGUAGUGGGUAGCCAUUCCAGCUUGGUUCUGGAAGUUCCAACUCCCAUUGAGACUCUGGCAACUGUCACGCCUA
Molecule: RNA transcript, 2258 nt
Organism: Peromyscus leucopus (white-footed mouse)
Lineage: Eukaryota; Metazoa; Chordata; Mammalia; Rodentia; Cricetidae
Gene name: actin cytoskeleton-regulatory complex protein PAN1-like
Exons: 3
Source: RefSeq, a predicted model, not a curated record